RNAcentral lists this ribosomal RNA (450 nucleotides) under uncultured organism. RNAcentral describes it as "partial 16S ribosomal RNA". It matches the Rfam family "Bacterial small subunit ribosomal RNA", at positions 331 to 797 of the family's 1533-position model. The record is from RNAcentral.
GUACACUCCUGCGGGAGGCAGCAGUGGGGAAUAUUGGACAAUGGGCGCAAGCCUGAUCCAGCCAUGCCGCGUGAGUGAUGAAGGCCCUAGGGUUGUAAAGCUCUUUUGUGCGGGAAGAUAAUGACGGUACCGCAAGAAUAAGCCCCGGCUAACUUCGUGCCAGCAGCCGCGGUAAUACGAAGGGGGCUAGCGUUGCUCGGAAUCACUGGGCGUAAAGGGUGCGUAGGCGGGUCUUUAAGUCAGGGGUGAAAUCCUGGAGCUCAACUCCAGAACUGCCUUUGAUACUGAAGAUCUUGAGUUCGGGAGAGGUGAGUGGAACUGCGAGUGUAGAGGUGAAAUUCGUAGAUAUUCGCAAGAACACCAGUGGCGAAGGCGGCUCACUGGCCCGAUACUGACGCUGAGGCACGAAAGCGUGGGGAGCAAACAGGAUUAGAAACCCCGGUAGUCCCA